GAUGAACGCUGGCGGCGUGCCUAAUACAUGCAAGUCGAGCGAACAGACGAGGAGCUUGCUCCUCUGACGUUAGCGGCGGACGGGUGAGUAACACGUGGAUAACCUACCUAUAAGACUGGGAUAACUUCGGGAAACCGGAGCUAAUACCGGAUAAUAUAUUGAACCCAAUGGUUCAAUAGGAAAAGAGGGUUUUGCGGUAACUUAUAGAUGAAUCCGCGCCGCAUUAGCUAGUUGGUAAGGUAACGGCUUACCAAGGCGACGAUGCGUAGCCGACCUGAGAGGGUGAUCGGCCACACUGGAACUGAGACACGGUCCAGACUCCUACGGGAGGCAGCAGUAGGGAAUCUUCCGCAAUGGGCGAAAGCCUGACGGAGCAACGCCGCGUGAGUGAUGAAGGUCUUCGGAUCGUAAAACUCUGUUAUUAGGGAAGAACAAAUGUGUAAGUAACUAUGCACGUCUUGACGGUACCUAAUCAGAAAGCCACGGCUAACUACGUG
This 497-nucleotide ribosomal RNA is filed under the name uncultured bacterium. Its description in RNAcentral is "partial 16S ribosomal RNA". It matches the Rfam family "Bacterial small subunit ribosomal RNA", at positions 28 to 507 of the family's 1533-position model. The record is from RNAcentral.